GGAGCAAUCCUGGCGGCGAGUGGCGAACGGGUGAGUAAUACAUCGGAACGUGCCCAAUCGUGGGGGAUAACGCAGCGAAAGCUGUGCUAAUACCGCAUACGAUCUACGGAUGAAAGCAGGGGAUCGCAAGACCUUGCGCGAAUGGAGCGGCCGAUGGCAGAUUAGGUAGUUGGUGAGGUAAAGGCUCACCAAGCCUUCGAUCUGUAGCUGGUCUGAGAGGACGACCAGCCACACUGGGACUGAGACACGGCCCAGACUCCUACGGGAGGCAGCAGUGGGGAAUUUUGGACAAUGGGCGCAAGCCUGAUCCAGCCAUGCCGCGUGCAGGAUGAAGGCCUUCGGGUUGUAAACUGCUUUUGUACGGAACGAAACCGCUCUUUCUAAUAAAGAGGGCUAAUGACGGUACCGUAAGAAUAAGCACCGGCUAACUACGUGCCA
This 438-nucleotide ribosomal RNA is filed under the name Variovorax sp. 5S2.A7. RNAcentral's name for it is "bacterial SSU rRNA". It matches the Rfam family "Bacterial small subunit ribosomal RNA", at positions 76 to 510 of the family's 1533-position model. Lineage: Bacteria; Pseudomonadati; Pseudomonadota; Betaproteobacteria; Burkholderiales; Comamonadaceae. The record is from RNAcentral.